UGACUUUAUAUGAUCAAAAUCCUAGGAUCCAUUAUUCAUAGAUUUACUCUAUAUAUACGUCAGGUAGUACACGUACUGUGUUAACAUGAACCUGCUAGCAUGCGGUCUGGUUCUUCUAUUUGUGGUGCUGGAAUUCGACUGCAUCCAGGGGCAAUGUUGUGCCAGUGACAAUGAUUGUCCACAAUAUUACUGCUGUGUUUUCCCAGUGAGAGGCAGACGAGCCAUCGGAUGUGGAAGUGGGACCUGCACCCGAUUUGGCGCCCGCGGUGAAAAAUGCCAUGUGGGUCAUCAUGUCACGUGCCCUUGUUUGUCGGGCUUGACAUGCGUUGGGACAGGGGAAUUUGAGUUUCCCCAGGGGGAGAUUGGAGUUUGCCAGAGAUACCAUUAUGGCUAAGAAGUCAAAAGGAAUAUGCAUAUACGAAGAGAAUAUUCAUAUUCAAAUGCAAAGCAAUCUUUGAAAUAAAUAUUACGACAUACCAAAACCCACUGAUUUCUCAUUUCUAGAUGUUGUCACACCACAAACAUCUCAAACUCCCAGCCUUCGGACAAUCACAUCA
Molecule: long non-coding RNA, 557 nt
Organism: Magallana angulata
Lineage: Eukaryota; Metazoa; Mollusca; Bivalvia; Ostreida; Ostreidae
Exons: 4
Source: RefSeq, a predicted model, not a curated record